Molecule: non-coding RNA, 494 nt
Organism: Misgurnus anguillicaudatus (oriental weatherfish)
Lineage: Eukaryota; Metazoa; Chordata; Actinopteri; Cypriniformes; Cobitidae
Source: RefSeq, a predicted model, not a curated record
AGGUCAUCAUCAGCAGCAGCAGCAGAGGAACUUCAUACAAGAGAUUCAAUGUUACUGUCUAUGCUCGUCUGCCUGUUCCUGACAUCAUCAUAGACUCAGCACGAUGUUCUUCAUUAUUCUCACCAAGCUCAAAAUGUGUGUUGUUGUGUUCAGUGUUGAAUGUGAGAGAUGUGAGUCUGUCCUGGUACAAAGGAAACAGUUUAUUGUCCAGAAUCAGUGUGUCUGAUUUCAAGAUCAGACUCUCUCUACCUCUGGAGGUAAAAUAUCAGACUACAAACACAUACAGCUGUGUACUAAACAAUACCAUCACAAACCAAACUCAACAUCUCAACAUCAAUCAUGUCUGUCAGACAUGUUCAGAACUCCAGCAUUCAAUAUUGUGGAAAGCUAUUGUUGUUGGUUUUUGUGCUGCUACUCUGUGGCUGUCAAUCAUCUUGGGUUUAGUCAUAGGUGUGUUGUGCCACCACUACAACAAAGUGAAAUAAUCAAAGAAG